Triticum urartu is the source of this 613-nucleotide non-coding RNA. The record is from RefSeq and is a predicted model, not a curated record. NCBI's taxonomy places the organism in Eukaryota, Viridiplantae, Streptophyta, Magnoliopsida, Poales, Poaceae.
GCUGGCGCCCCGCUCCGUAGGAUCCAAGUACGCCCCUCUCCGUGGUGUUCACUGAUUGCUUGGAGCAACAACGUGCUAUUGGAGUUGCCGAAGCAUUAGGUGAUUCGAUUGUGUGCGUUUGCUGGAUUUGUUUGACGAAGGAAAUAUGACGAUGAAGGACACACAGAGGAGUGUGAGCGGUGAUGGUACCAAGGUUACCGGCAAACUUGCUCUCAGUUUUUAUUCUUGGCAGGUGAUUCUUCAUGAUAAUUUUUUGUAGAGGAACAUUUUUGCGAUGGGGCCGGGAACGGUGAUCGGUGGUGCUGGUGUCGGCAGUGCGGUACAAGGUCAGGAUGCGGGACGGGACGGCCAUCCGUGUGAGGCAGUCGGCGGUGAGGGUUUUUGGCAUCAUGAGGAGCGCCCGCGGAUUCAAGGUGUUGGCCCGAGACCUCCGACGAGGGAGGAGACGAUGUUAGUAUUUCUAGAGGAAAGAAACAAGAGAAGAAGAACAAGAACAACGACGACAAUCUCGGGUUCCAGGUACGAUGGAGCCGGCGGCGAAGCGCAUGGCGCUCGCAAAUGUGAUAGUGGAUGACGACGAUACCCUCAACUGCGGCAUCUGCUACCUCCCUCC